UGGUGGAGUGAUUUGUCUGCUUAAUUGCGAUAACGAACGAGACCUUAACCUGCUAAAUAGCCGGGCUCGCUUUUGCGAGAUUCUGGCUUCUUAGAGGGACUAUCGAAUCAAAGUCGAUGGAAGUUUGAGGCAAUAACA
RNAcentral lists this ribosomal RNA (138 nucleotides) under uncultured eukaryote. RNAcentral's name for it is "partial 18S ribosomal RNA". It matches the Rfam family "Eukaryotic small subunit ribosomal RNA", at positions 1299 to 1458 of the family's 1831-position model. The record is from RNAcentral.